RNAcentral lists this long non-coding RNA (469 nucleotides) under Salmo salar (Atlantic salmon). RNAcentral describes it as "lncRNA (ENSSSAG00000114953.1)". Lineage: Eukaryota; Metazoa; Chordata; Actinopteri; Salmoniformes; Salmonidae. The record is from RNAcentral.
AAUUGUUGCGCUACUGGUGAUGCCUGUUGAUGUUAGGUAGGCAGCUACAGUAGCUGAAUGAUGUUAACAUCUUCAGGUUUUGUUUCAUUAAAUGUAUUUUAUUUUAUCUGGGUGCUUACGUCACCUACUGACACCCUGGUACUACCCAUAGAUCCCGCUCUCCUCAGUCUGAGAAAACACUGAGAGAGAAAGAACAACUUGUCAGGUGGUGCAUUGGAGACUGAUGUGUUCCUGUCCUGUCUUUUCAUAAUACUAUUGCAGAUCGACAUAAAAGCCUAAAAGACAGCCGUGGUGUCGCUCUUCAUUUCUUGGUUCUCCUGUGGUGCAUAAGAAACCCGCUACAUUGUGCUACAGCAGUGGCUGCAUCUGAUGGAGCACAAAUGAAUAAAUAAAUCGGAACGGUGGAGCCAUUUGGACGUUUGACAUUUACUGAUGAGACAAUUAAGGUCCCGUUCUAUUCUGUAAGACA